GUACCGUGAGGGAAAGGUGAAAAGAACCCUGAAUAAGGGAGUGAAAUAGAACCUGAAACCAUACGCUUACAAGCGGUCGGAGCGAUAAGUGACGGCGUGCCUUUUGCAUAAUGAGCCUACGAGUUACUUUAACUAGCGAGGUUAAGGCCUUCAGGGCCGGAUCCGUAGCGAAAGCGAGUCUGAAUAGGGCGAACAUAGUUAGUUUGAGUAGACGCGAAACCGUGUGAUCUACCCUUGGGCAGGUUGAAGCUUUGUUAACCCAAAGUGGAGGACCGAACCCGUUGACGUUGAAAAGUCUUGGGAUGACCUGAGGGUAGGGGUGAAAGGCCAAUCAAACCGGGAAAUAGCUCGUACUCCCCGAA
This 362-nucleotide ribosomal RNA is filed under the name Extubocellulus spinifer. RNAcentral describes it as "partial Bacterial large subunit ribosomal RNA". It matches the Rfam family "Bacterial large subunit ribosomal RNA", at positions 498 to 863 of the family's 2925-position model. Lineage: Eukaryota; Bacillariophyta; Thalassiosirophyceae; Cymatosirales; Cymatosiraceae. The record is from RNAcentral.